CAGGCCUAACACAUGCAAGUCGAACGAUGACUCUCUAGCUUGCUAGAGAUGAUUAGUGGCGGACGGGUGAGUAACAUUUAGGAACCUGCCUAGUAGUGGGGGAUAGCUCGGGGAAACUCGAAUUAAUACCGCAUACGACCUACGGGUGAAAGGGGGCGCAAGCUCUUGCUAUUAGAUGAGCCUAAAUCAGAUUAGCUAGUUGGUGGGGUAAAGGCCCACCAAGGCGACGAUCUGUAACUGGUCUGAGAGGAUGAUCAGUCACACCGGAACUGAGACACGGUCCGGACUCCUACGGGAGGCAGCAGUGGGGAAUAUUGGACAAUGGGGGCAACCCUGAUCCAGCCAUGCCGCGUGUGUGAAGAAGGCCUUUUGGUUGUAAAGCACUUUAAGCAGGGAGGAGAGGCUAAUGGUUAAUACCCAUUAGAUUAGACGUUACCUGCAGAAUAAGCACCGGCUAACUUUGUGCCAGCAGCCGCGGUAAU
Molecule: ribosomal RNA, 482 nt
Filed under: uncultured bacterium
Lineage: Bacteria
Description: bacterial SSU rRNA
Rfam family: Bacterial small subunit ribosomal RNA
Source: RNAcentral